This 29-nucleotide non-coding RNA is filed under the name Mus musculus (house mouse). Lineage: Eukaryota; Metazoa; Chordata; Mammalia; Rodentia; Muridae. The record is from RNAcentral.
UCCUAUUGGGAUAUGCUGCUGUAGACACA